UACGGAGGGUGCAAGCGUUAUCCGGAUUCACUGGGCUUAAAGGGUGCGUAGGCGGGUUGGUAAGUCCGUGGUGAAAUCUUCGAGCUUAACUCGGAAACUGCCGUGGAUACUAUCAAUCUUGAAUAUCGUGGAGGUAAGCGGAAUAUGUCAUGUAGCGGUGAAAUGCUUAGAUAUGACAUAGAACACCAAUUGCGUAGGCAGCUUACUGCACGAUCAUUGACGCUGAGGCACGAAAGCGUGGGGAGCAAACAGG
RNAcentral lists this ribosomal RNA (253 nucleotides) under uncultured bacterium. RNAcentral's name for it is "partial 16S ribosomal RNA". It matches the Rfam family "Bacterial small subunit ribosomal RNA", at positions 524 to 776 of the family's 1533-position model. The record is from RNAcentral.